CCCAACGGGUUAUUAGCUUACAACGGCGAGUGAAGCGGCAAAAGCUCAAAUUUGAAAUCUGGCACCUUCGGUGUCCGAGUUGUAAUUUGAAGAAGGUAACUUUGGAGUUGGCUCUUGUCUAUGUUCCUUGGAACAGGACGUCACAGAGGGUGAGAAUCCCGUGCGAUGAGAUGCCCAAUUCUAUGUAAAGUGCUUUCGAAGAGUCGAGUUGUUUGGGAAUGCAGCUCUAAGUGGGUGGUAAAUUCCAUCUAAAGCUAAAUAUUGGCGAGAGACCGAUAGCGAACAAGUACAGUGAUGGAAAGAUGAAAAGAACUUUGAAAAGAGAGUGAAAAAGUACGUGAAAUUGUUGAAAGGGAAGGGCUUGAGAUCAGACUUGGUAUUUUGCGAUCCUUUCCUUCUUGGUUGGGUUCCUCGCACCUUACUGGGCCAGCAUCGGUUUGGAUGGUAGGAUAAUGACUAAGGAAUGUGGCUCUACUUCGGUGGAGUGUUAUAGCCUUGGUUGAUACUGCCUGUCUAGACCGAGGACUGCGUCUUUUGACUAUGAUGUUGGCAUAAUGAUCUUAAGCCACCCGUCUUGAAACACGGACCAACAAA
This 594-nucleotide ribosomal RNA is filed under the name Debaryomyces hansenii. RNAcentral's name for it is "LSU rRNA". It matches the Rfam family "Eukaryotic large subunit ribosomal RNA", at positions 64 to 673 of the family's 3401-position model. The record is from RNAcentral. Lineage: Eukaryota; Fungi; Ascomycota; Pichiomycetes; Serinales; Debaryomycetaceae.